RNAcentral lists this non-coding RNA (78 nucleotides) under Planktothrix sp. PCC 11201. Lineage: Bacteria; Bacillati; Cyanobacteriota; Cyanophyceae; Oscillatoriales; Microcoleaceae. The record is from RNAcentral.
AGGAGCCGUGUGAGGGGAAACUUUCACGCACGGUUCUGAACCAGAGGUGGAAACGGUGACGUUUCUAUCGACUGUAAU